CCUACGGGAGGCAGCAGUGGGGAAUCUUGCGCAAUGGGCGAAAGCCUGACGCAGCCAUGCCGCGUGAAUGAUGAAGGUCUUAGGAUUGUAAAAUUCUUUCAGUAGGGACGAUAAUGACGGUACCUACAGAAGAAGCCCCGGCUAACUUCGUGCCAGCAGCCGCGGUAAUACGAAGGGGGCUAGCGUUGCUCGGAAUUACUGGGCGUAAAGGGAGCGUAGGCGGACAUUUAAGUCAGGGGUGAAAUCCCAGAGCUCAACUCUGGAACUGCCUUUGAUACUGGGUGUCUUGAGUGUGAUAGAGGUAUGUGGAACUCCGAGUGUAGAGGUGAAAUUCGUAGAUAUUCGGAAGAACACCAGUGGCGAAGGCGACAUACUGGAUCAUUACUGACGCUGAGGCUCGAAAGCGUGGGGAGCAAACAGGAUUAGAUACCCUGGUAGUCCACGCCGUAAACGAUGAUGNUAGUGUCGGUUGUUACGUACCGGUACGACGCAGCUACGCAUAAGUACACUCCGCCGUCGGGUAGGUACGGUCGCGAAGAAUUAAACUAACAACGUAAGUAGUAGACGUGUAGAGAGCGACGACGACGACGACGGAGGAGG
This 600-nucleotide ribosomal RNA is filed under the name uncultured bacterium. RNAcentral's name for it is "bacterial SSU rRNA". The stretch from base 1 to 515 matches the Rfam family "Bacterial small subunit ribosomal RNA", at positions 338 to 873 of the family's 1533-position model. The record is from RNAcentral.